AGCUAGGAAGGACUUGAUUAUUCAGAAAAGGAAACUGACAGAGAGGCUGGGGUCUUUCCAAGCUCACACAGUUAGAGCAGAGGGGACCUCGGGGAUGUUCUGAGCCUCAGGCUCCACCAGACUUCCUCCAGCCUGGCUCAGAGGUAGGAAUCUGUUCUUCUGGACAGUGCAGGGGGGCCCCUCCCCACCAGUCACUGCCACCCAGGUCCUUCAGGACAUGUGAUCACAGCAUCACCUGCUCUGCCAUCAUUGCCUUGGCAGGUGCUCCACUGUUGUGCAACCAGGCCCGGGGCUGGGCUGGCCCCAUCAAAUCAACAGCUGGUUGGCUUGGGCCGGCUGAGUCUGCCCCCCUGGAGCUCAGCUGUGACAGCAAUGAAUCACACUAAUGGAGAGAGGUGGCCAUUCCUUCUCUGUGGCCUGGAGACAGGUUUUCCCAAAACUCCUCCCCUGGCUCAGGCAAACACACCUGACCUUUCUCUCGCUGGGCCCAGGGUGAGGCAGAGCAGCCAGGAGCAAGGUGGGGUGAACCAGACAGAGCUGGAGUGCUCUCCCACCCCUGCUUUGCCCAGCUACCCCGCCAAGCCCAUGAAUCCAGGCAGGGUAAGGCCCUCCUCCCAGAGGAAGGGGCCAACAGUCCAGUGACCUUGGAGUGCGCUUCGCCUGGCACUCCCCUCACACCGCUCCCUACAGCUUGCACUCUGCCUCUGACUCUCUUCCAAGAACAAUUGGACAAGUUCUAAUCUACAUCUUGCAAAAACAAAAAAACAAAAAACCCAGAGAGGUAGGAGGGCCACAGCACCUGGGGUCCCAGAAGGCAGACUGACACCUAUUCCUACUGUAGGGCUACAAACCAGUGCCACAUGCCUGGAGGUUGAGUGGACACACCUGGUCCUCCUCACGGAGAUGUAUAGCACUCUGAGCUCUGAUCCAGUUGAUCUGUGUGAAGUCCGCAGACAAACACAUAACCAUUCAACUCCCACAGGAGGCUUCUUGGAGCACGGUCCAGCUAGUUCGUCUUUAAGGGACAGCCAUGCUCCAGGUGCAGUCUUGGGAGCCAUCUGAUCACUGUCCCUUCAUCCAAGCAUCUGCUUUCUGAAGGAGGCGAGGCCACGUGCUGUCAAGCGCUGUGGACAGACAGCCUGGGGUCAAGUCCUAGCUUCUCCACCCCCAACUGGACCAGCCACUAUUGUACCUCUGACUGAUCUCAGAACACAGCUGGAUUACCAGAAGGAAAACUAAGUGAGUGCUUAGAGGCUGGCAAAGUAAGGAGAACCAUUUGUAGGUGAUGUGCUAAAGAUGCUGACCAUCAUUCCUUACUCUUAAUUAUUAUGAGAAAAAUGAGAACCCCCUCCUUGGACUUCCUUAUUCCUAUGCUGAAGUGUAAUGUUCUGUUUUUAACAAUGUAUGGGGGCAGCACACACAGUGCUUUGCCUGCCUGGGAACUCUAAGGGUCUCAGUCUGGCCUUGCUCUGAAAUUGCUGCAAGGCCUGCCAAUUCCCUGAUGUAUCACAAGUGUUCCUGAACAAUAAGCUCAUUUACCAGGUCUAGCUGUGACCAGAUAUUUUUUAAUCACCAUGAUCACUGGGUUGACAGGUUGAGCUUGAGCUCCACCAUAAGCCUGAGUCUUUCCAAAGGCCUGGGGGACUGAAGGCAGAAGCAAGAGCACACGUAGAGAAGGCACCGAACAAGCUGAUCUGUGCAGUUCUUCGGUUCUAAACACCUUGCAGAAUCCAGGCGGACUCAGGGCCUGUGUGGCCACUGGGCAGGGAAGGUGGUGGUUCCUAGGCCCAUCAAAACCCCAAGGAGCACUGAAUUCUGUCUCCUGCUAUAGCUUCAGGUGCCAGGUUCACUGGGGUCUUAGAAGGUGGGGCUGGAAGGAGGUGGGCCCGGAGGGUUCCACUCCUUAAGUGCUGGCUUCAAGAUGGAAGACAUUAAGACAUUCCAGGGGUUGAUUCUUUUCUUGAGACCCUAAGAUGUUCCAGGCUUCUGUAGAGCAGGCACAGUCCUUGCCCUCCAGGACUUGUAUCAAUAAAGACACAAAACACUAGAGGCAGAAGCUGCAUACGGGCAACCUCCAUGCAGAAUCUGCCCGCAUCUGUGUUUGUUCAGCCAACAGUGCUUUUUAGAAAGUUGAGUCAGAAUGUCUUUGGAAGGACACUGUAGGUGACAGCAGGCACCAUGCCCUAUCGUCUCCCCAGCAUAUUCACAUAUUGGCAUUACCUGCCUGGUCUCUACAGUCUGAAUGCCAAGUAUGAAGUGUGAAUAUAAAGGCAGCAAACAAGUGUGAUUGGGGCACAAGAAAGGGAUUCAGCUGGGUGUGGUGGCUCACGCCUGUAAUCCCAACACUUUGGGAGGCCGAGGCAGGUGGAUCACUUGAGGCUAAGAG
Non-coding RNA from Chlorocebus sabaeus (green monkey), 2386 nucleotides. The record is from RefSeq and is a predicted model, not a curated record. Lineage: Eukaryota; Metazoa; Chordata; Mammalia; Primates; Cercopithecidae.